This 253-nucleotide ribosomal RNA is filed under the name uncultured bacterium. Its description in RNAcentral is "partial 16S ribosomal RNA". It matches the Rfam family "Bacterial small subunit ribosomal RNA", at positions 524 to 776 of the family's 1533-position model. The record is from RNAcentral.
GACAGGGUGGUGCAAACGUUGCUCGGAAUUACUGGGCGUAAAGGGCGUGUAGGCGGGAAGGCAAGUCGGGCGUGAAAGCCCCAGGCUCAACCUGGGAACUGCACUCGAAACUGCCUUUCUUGAGUGCCGGAGAGGAAAGCGGAAUUCCUGGUGUAGAGGUGAAAUUCGUGGAUAUCAGGAGGACACCAGUGGCGAAGGCGGCUUUCUGGACGGUAACUGACGCUGAGACGCGAAAGCGUGGGGAGCAAACAGG